Molecule: long non-coding RNA, 368 nt
Organism: Helianthus annuus (common sunflower)
Lineage: Eukaryota; Viridiplantae; Streptophyta; Magnoliopsida; Asterales; Asteraceae
Exons: 2
Source: RefSeq, a predicted model, not a curated record
CUUGGCGGCUGCCCUUUUUAGAAAUAUCCUCCUACAUUUCAGCAAACUUUCCCUUCUUCCUUUCUUUUAAAGAUUCAAGGCAUCAUCAAGCAGCUUUUCCAUCUUCGAAGCUUCUUACUUUUUGAAGAUCUUCCCUAUCUCUCGCACACUUCUUCUUAUUCCUUUAUUUCGGGUCCUUAGGUGAUGCGCUGGAGAUUGCUUGGAAGAGUGUAGUGGUUAUCUAGAACCGUUGUUGGGUUCUUAUUUGAACUAGUGUUUUAAAACUAUAAUGGGAUUUUGUACUUUAUGAUUCCGCUAAUAACUUAAACUAUGUUUUAAGACUUGAAUGUUUUGUCACUAAUCAUAUUAGUGGUAAUGGUUUUACUUUA